This 228-nucleotide ribosomal RNA is filed under the name uncultured Eubacteriales bacterium. RNAcentral's name for it is "uncultured Clostridiales bacterium partial 16S ribosomal RNA". It matches the Rfam family "Bacterial small subunit ribosomal RNA", at positions 105 to 334 of the family's 1533-position model. The record is from RNAcentral. Lineage: Bacteria; Bacillati; Bacillota; Clostridia; Eubacteriales.
GGUAGUAACGCGUGAGCAACCUGCCUAUGACAGUGGGAUAGCCCCGGGAAACCGGGAUUAAUACCGCAUAAAAUCGUAGAAACACAUGUUUCAACGGUCAAAGAUUUAUCGGUCAUAGAUGGGCUCGCGUCUGAUUAGCUAGUUGGUGAGAUAACAGCCCACCAAGGCGACGAUCAGUAGCCGGUCUGAGAGGAUGAACGGCCACAUUGGAACUGAUACACGGUCCAA